CCUACGGGAGGCAGCAGUGAGGAAUAUUGGUCAAUGGCCGGAAGGCUGAACCAGCCAUGCCGCGUGAAGGACAGCGCCCUAUGGGCGUUAAACUUCUUUUGUGCGGGAGCAAUAAUGGUCACGUGUGGCCAGACGAGAGUACCGUACGAAUAAGCAUCGGCUAACUCCGUGCCAGCAGCCGCGGUAAUACGGGGGGUGCAAGCGUUAUCCGGAUUUAUUGGGUUUAAAGGGUGCGUAGGCUGGGAGGUAAGUCAGCGGGGAAAUGCCCCCGCUCAACGGGGUGAAGUGCCAUUGAUACUGGCUUGCUGGAGUGCGCAUGACGUGGGAGGAAUGUGUGGUGUAGCGGUGAAAUGCAUAGAUAUCACGCAGAACACCGAUUGCGAAGGCAUCUCACGAAUCCGCGAUUGACGCUGAUGCACGAAAGCGUGGGUAUCAAACAGGAUUAGAUACCCGGGUAGUC
This 460-nucleotide ribosomal RNA is filed under the name uncultured bacterium. RNAcentral describes it as "partial 16S ribosomal RNA". It matches the Rfam family "Bacterial small subunit ribosomal RNA", at positions 338 to 795 of the family's 1533-position model. The record is from RNAcentral.